Molecule: long non-coding RNA, 755 nt
Organism: Cydia splendana
Lineage: Eukaryota; Metazoa; Arthropoda; Insecta; Lepidoptera; Tortricidae
Exons: 3
Source: RefSeq, a predicted model, not a curated record
CUCAAACAUAAGUGACAUUGAAUAUUUUAAUUCAGACUUCGAUUACAAAGAAUAAAACUUUUUCUUAUAAAAUAUUUCUUUAUUUGUAGGUUCUGUUAGUUACGAAAUUAUAUUUCAUUUAGUGACUUUUCGGCGAAGUAAAAUAUCGUGAGAUAAGAGAACCGGACAUAUCCCAAUAAGGCCUACCUACUUAUGCACUAUUUUUAUUCAUAUUUAUUAUUAAUAAUGUACACAUACAUUACAAGUCAAGUUUACAAUGGGUGAAAUAUAUCCCAGAUAGUAAAAUUACAGUUCUAUUGCCCAAUUUCUACCCGAUCUACCCGGUUUUGUAUUAAAAUAACUGUUGAACUGCACAGAUUAGGCAGUACAUAAAUGAGACUCUAUCUUGUUUGGUACUAAAAUUACAGUUGUAUUGGGCAGAUUCUUAACUAGUUUUAGCAGUUUUGUCAAUCGCACUGUCACUUUUUAGUAUCUGAGACAUAAAAACAAGAGUGUGUUUUAAAAAGAAAACUAAUGCCUGCGCUAAAUCAGAGGAUUGAGUUGACGAGCCGACACCACCACCAGGGUCCGUUUAGUAAGCCGUGGUAAAAAACCGGAACAAAAGGGAUUCAUGUAUCAUGACCUUUAGUGUCGUACUAUAAUCACGUGACCAGUGUUGUCAGCAUAGUAAAAACCAUAAAAUAGCACUGGCGCGCCCUCAAAUCCCACGACUCUUCUCUUUCCGCACAGACUCUACUGGCAACAUCGCCAUCAAA